GGGAGUGGCAAGCGUUAUCCGGAAUUAUUGGGCGUAAAGCGUCCGCAGGCGGCCUUUCAAGUCUGCUGUUAAAACGUGGAGCUUAACUCCAUCAUGGCAGUGGAAACUGAUUGGCUUGAGUAUGGUAGGGGCAGAGGGAAUUCCCGGUGUAGCGGUGAAAUGCGUAGAUAUCGGGAAGACCACCAGUGGCGAAGGCGCUCUGCUGGGCCAUUAUCGACGCUCAU
RNAcentral lists this ribosomal RNA (224 nucleotides) under uncultured bacterium. Its description in RNAcentral is "partial 16S ribosomal RNA". It matches the Rfam family "Bacterial small subunit ribosomal RNA", at positions 527 to 750 of the family's 1533-position model. The record is from RNAcentral.